RNAcentral lists this ribosomal RNA (990 nucleotides) under Micavibrio sp. RNAcentral describes it as "bacterial LSU rRNA". It matches the Rfam family "Bacterial large subunit ribosomal RNA", at positions 1927 to 2925 of the family's 2925-position model. The record is from RNAcentral. Lineage: Bacteria; Pseudomonadati; Bdellovibrionota; Bdellovibrionia; Bdellovibrionales; Pseudobdellovibrionaceae.
ACGGCGGCCGUAACUAUAACGGUCCUAAGGUAGCGAAAUUCCUUGUCGGGUAAGUUCCGACCUGCACGAAUGGCGUAACGACUUCCCCACUGUCUCCAGAGCAGACUCAGCGAAAUUGAAUUCCCUGUUAAGAUGCAGGGUACCCGCGGUCAGACGGAAAGACCCUAUGAACCUUUACUAUAGCUUUACAGUGGCAUUAGGCUUGACAUGUGUAGCAUAGGUGGGAGGCUUUGAAGCCAGGACGCCAGUCUUGGUGGAGCCAAUCAGUGAAAUACCACCCUUGCCAAGUUUGAUGUCUAACCACGGUCCAUUAUCUGGAUCUGGGACCCUGUAUGGUGGGUAGUUUGACUGGGGCGGUCGCCUCCUAAAUGGUAACGGAGGCGCGCGAUGGUGAGCUCAAGACGGUCGGAAAUCGUCUUCAAGAGUGCAAUGGCAUAAGCUCGCCUGACUGCGAGACUGACAAGUCGAGCAGAGACGAAAGUCGGUCAUAGUGAUCCGGUGGUUCCGCAUGGAAGGGCCAUCGCUCAACGGAUAAAAGGUACUCUAGGGAUAACAGGCUGAUAGCGCCCAAGCGUCCACAGCGACGGCGCUGUUUGGCACCUCGAUGUCGGCUCAUCUCAUCCUGGGGCUGUAGCAGGUCCCAAGGGUAUGGCUGUUCGCCAUUUAAAGAGGUACGUGAGCUGGGUUCAGAACGUCGUGAGACAGUUCGGUCCCUAUCUGCCGUGGGAGUUGGAAUCUUGAGAGGAGCUGCCCUUAGUACGAGAGGACCGGGGUGGACGUACCUCUAGUGCACCAGUUGUCGCGCCAGCGGCACCGCUGGGUAGCUACGUACGGACGGGAUAACCGCUGAAAGCAUCUAAGCGGGAAGCCUCCCUCAAUACUAGGAUUCCCUAUCAGAGCCGUGGAAGACCACCACGUUGAUAGGCCAGAUGUGGAAGUACAGUAAUGUAUGAAGCUAACUGGUACUAAUUGCUCGAUUGGCUUGUAUUC